GUGGGGAAUCUUGCGCAAUGGGCGAAAGCCUGACGCAGCCAUGCCGCGUGAAUGAUGAAGGUCUUAGGAUUGUAAAAUUCUUUCACCGGGGACGAUAAUGACGGUACCCGGAGAAGAAGCUCCGGCUAACUUCGUGCCAGCAGCCGCGGUAAUACGAAGGGGGCUAGCGUUGCUCGGAAUUACUGGGCGUAAAGGGCGCGUAGGUGGACAGCUUAGUCAGAGGUGAAAGCCCAGGGCUCAACCUUGGAAUUGCCUUUGAUACUGGCUGUCUUGAGUUUGGGAGAGGUGAGUGGAACUCCUAGUGUAGAGGUGGAAUUCGUAGAUAUUAGGAAGAACACCAGUGGCGAAGGCGGCUCACUGGUCUGGUACUGACGCUGAGGUGCGAAAGCGUGGGGAGCAAACAGGAUUAGAAACCCUGGUAGUCC
This 425-nucleotide ribosomal RNA is filed under the name uncultured bacterium. RNAcentral's name for it is "partial 16S ribosomal RNA". It matches the Rfam family "Bacterial small subunit ribosomal RNA", at positions 354 to 796 of the family's 1533-position model. The record is from RNAcentral.